GGGGUUGUGGCUCAGGGGUAGAACAUCUGCUUCACAAGCCGGAGGGCCCAGUUUCCAUCCCCGGAGUCUCCA
RNAcentral lists this transfer RNA (72 nucleotides) under Sphaerodactylus townsendi. Its description in RNAcentral is "tRNA-Val". Lineage: Eukaryota; Metazoa; Chordata; Lepidosauria; Squamata; Sphaerodactylidae. The record is from RNAcentral.